This 76-nucleotide transfer RNA is filed under the name Candidatus Omnitrophota bacterium. Its description in RNAcentral is "Candidatus Omnitrophica bacterium tRNA-Ala". It matches the Rfam family "tRNA". From Rfam's summary of the family: Transfer RNA (tRNA) molecules are approximately 80 nucleotides in length. Their secondary structure includes four short double-helical elements and three loops (D, anti-codon, and T loops). Lineage: Bacteria; Pseudomonadati; Candidatus Omnitrophota. The record is from RNAcentral.
GGGGUCAUAGCUCAGCUGGGAGAGCGCCUCGUUCGCAACGAGGAGGCCGGGGGUUCGAGCCCCCCUGGCUCCACCA